GAUGAACGCUGGCGGCGUGCCUAAUACAUGCAAGUCGAGCGAACGGACGAGAAGCUUACUUCUCUGAUGUUAGCGGCGGACGGGUGAGUAACACAUGGAUAACCUACCUAUAAGACUGGGAUAACUUCGGGAAACCGGAGCUAAUACCGGAUAAUAUUUUGAACCGCAUGGUUCAAAAGUGAAAGACGGUCUUGCUGUCACUUAUAGAUGGAUCCGCGCUGCAUUAGCUAGUUGGUAAGGUAACGGCUUACCAAGGCAACGAUGCAUAGCCGACCUGAGAGGGUGAUCGGCCACACUGGAACUGAGACACGGUCCAGACUCCUACGGGAGGCAGCAGUAGGGAAUCUUCCGCAAUGGGCGAAAGCCUGACGGAGCAACGCCGCGUGAGUGAUGAAGGUCUUCGGAUCGUAAAACUCUGUUAUUAGGGAAGAACAUAUGUGUAAGUAACUGUGCACAUCUUGACGGUACCUAAUCAGAAAGCCACGGCUAACUACGUG
Molecule: ribosomal RNA, 497 nt
Filed under: uncultured bacterium
Lineage: Bacteria
Description: partial 16S ribosomal RNA
Rfam family: Bacterial small subunit ribosomal RNA
Source: RNAcentral